This 253-nucleotide ribosomal RNA is filed under the name uncultured bacterium. Its description in RNAcentral is "partial 16S ribosomal RNA". It matches the Rfam family "Bacterial small subunit ribosomal RNA", at positions 524 to 776 of the family's 1533-position model. The record is from RNAcentral.
UACGUAGGGGGCAAGCGUUGUCCGGAUUUAUUGGGCGUAAAGAGCGUGUAGGCGGCCAGGUAGGUCUGCUGUGAAAACUCGAGGCUUAACCUCGAGCUGUCGGCGGAAACCAUCUGGCUAGAGUCCGGAAGAGGAGAAUGGAAUUCCCGGUGUAGCGGUGAAAUGCUUAGAUAUGACAUAGAACACCGAUAGCGGAGGCAGCUUACUACGCGAUUAUUGACACUGAGGCACGAAAGCGUGGGGAUCAAACAGG